CGAAAGUUUAGUGAAUGCAAUAAGAAGCAGAACGGAGGGGAACUGCAACACAUAGCUCGGUUUGCUGACAGGAGUGAAGACUAUUCAGGGAGAGCGACUCCCCAAAACAUGCAUCUGUCAUCUUUUUACAAUGCCAAGGAUCAAUUCAAAAGGUAGAAAAUGACAAGGAAAAGAAAGAGUGGAGAGAAAAGAAAGCCAGGUGCUCAGAAGAAGGGGGCCCAAAAAAGAGAUGGUAGCACACCUUCAUCCAGAACACGUUCACAGAGCCAAACAAAAGGCACGCAAACUAGUCACCCGAGCCCGGCCAGAUCCAGAUCCAGAUCCAGAGGCCAUGGACGGCACAGCACGGGUGCAGCAGAGCCUGAACCACUGAGUAAAGAUGUUCAGACUCAAACAAGCUCAAGUAGGCUUGAAAACAAGGAGACUCAGACGGAGACUGUCAGUCAAGCAACACAGCAGACACAAACAGAGCUCAAUGGCAACACAGAGACCACAGAAGUGUCACAGCCAACAGAACGCAAUCCUGAAGAUGUUAAGAUGGAGGUGGAAACUGGCCUGUCAAGGAACAAAGGAAAUGAAAGCAAUGAAGAAAAGAAUGAAAGUGUUGAGAGGAAGAAAAGAAAAGUGAGUGAAACAAGGGAACCUACAGAGGAGACAAAAGAAAGGACCAAACUAUCAGAUGGUUGCAGAGAACAAGAUGAAGAUAAGCAGAAAGAUGCAGACACAAAGGAAAAACAUUCAGGAGGAGAUUCACAGAAAGACCCAGUCAAGUCAGGAACAGAAGAACCAAAAUCGUACGCAGCAGCCGCUACAGCAGGAAGUACUAAAGAAUCUAAGGAGAAGAGAAAUCAGACAGCAGAGAAUCAGGCCAGCUCAAUGGAAAGCAAAAGAGCUCAGAGAAAACCUUCCCCAGUGAGGCAUCCAGCUGAAGCACCAAUGUUCACCUUUUACAUUUAUGCUGUUCUGGACAAAAGAUUCCGAUUUAACAAAUUGUAUGAUUCCCUGUUGCUCGUUCCCCUUCAAGGGAAUGAAACUAUUAAACUAGAUAUUAAAAACUGUAGGUAAGUUUCUCAUUAAUUUCCAUUUUCAUUUCACUUCCUAUAUACAGUACACACACA
Sinocyclocheilus grahami is the source of this 1118-nucleotide long non-coding RNA. Ensembl annotates it as E3 ubiquitin-protein ligase rnf213-beta-like. NCBI's taxonomy places the organism in Eukaryota, Metazoa, Chordata, Actinopteri, Cypriniformes, Cyprinidae. The record is from Ensembl.